This is a long non-coding RNA of Mastomys coucha (southern multimammate mouse), 717 nucleotides long. RefSeq lists it as uncharacterized. The record is from RefSeq and is a predicted model, not a curated record. NCBI's taxonomy places the organism in Eukaryota, Metazoa, Chordata, Mammalia, Rodentia, Muridae. The transcript has 5 exons.
CUGCCAUGCUCUUACCUUGAUGAUAAUGGACUGACCCUCUGAACCUUGAUAUGAAAGUAUGGACUGAGAUGUUUCCAUCAUCCUGAAUCUCUGUGUGAAUGUGAACAGAGCUCCCCAUACAGAUGGGGCAAGAAGCACAAAUACCACAGGAACUAAAAAAUUUUUAAACCAACUAAGAUGCGAAUGUUGAUUAGACCGUGUGACUACUAGAAAAAAAAUCCAAAUAUAUAUUGGCAGAUGAUGUAAAGUAUUGCUUUAGAACCACAAAACUUUGGUCAACGAUGACAAGUGGGGAGAGGAAAUAAAGGGAGAAAACAACAGCAAAGGCUAUAAUGAGGUUAUAUACCUGCAAUGUUCUUAGUAAUGAAGAUAACAAACACAAAGGCUGGAGAUGCAGCACUGCACUACAGUGCUUACCUAGUACAGCCCUGGUGGGGUCAGCCCAUCAGCCAACCAACACCCGAGUCCACUGGAGGGCAGUGAGAACACAGGCAAAAAACUAAAUGGAGGAUGCUGUGGAUGGAAAGCACGCAUUUGUACAGCUGAGCUCCAUCCCCGACCCUAUCUUGAUCAGUCUGCUGCUUCCUAACUGAACGCACAGGAAGGAGAUCAUCGGAUAAUCUUAAACAUGACAUGCUCACGUCUUCUCUUGGUGAUUCGGGGAAUAAUUUCAUUUAAUUAUCUCCAUUUCACCAUAAAAUCUGUUUGUCAUAGCAA